This 429-nucleotide ribosomal RNA is filed under the name Bacteroidota bacterium. Its description in RNAcentral is "Bacteroidetes bacterium partial 16S ribosomal RNA". It matches the Rfam family "Bacterial small subunit ribosomal RNA", at positions 355 to 776 of the family's 1533-position model. The record is from RNAcentral. Lineage: Bacteria; Pseudomonadati; Bacteroidota.
UAGGGAAUCUUCCGCAAUGGACGCAAGUCUGACGGAGCAACGCCGCGUGAGUGAAGAAGGAUUUCGGUUCGUAAAACUCUGUUGUUAGAGAAGAACAGCGCAUAGAGUAACUGUUAUGCGUGUGACGGUAUCUAACCAGAAAGCCACGGCUAACUACGUGCCAGCAGCCGCGGUAAUACGUAGGUGGCAAGCGUUGUCCGGAUUUAUUGGGCGUAAAGCGAGCGCAGGCGGUCAAUUAAGUCUGAUGUGAAAGCCCCCGGCUCAACCGGGGAGGGUCAUUGGAAACUGGUUGACUUGAGUGCAGAAGAGGAGAGUGGAAUUCCAUGUGUAGCGGUGAAAUGCGUAGAUAUCGGGAAGAACACCAAUGGCGAAGGCGACUCUCUGGUCUGUAACUGACGCUGAGGCUCGAAAGCGUGGGUAGCAAACAGG